Molecule: long non-coding RNA, 1181 nt
Organism: Mustela erminea (ermine)
Lineage: Eukaryota; Metazoa; Chordata; Mammalia; Carnivora; Mustelidae
Exons: 4
Source: RefSeq, a predicted model, not a curated record
UGAACAUUUGAGUUGAGCAUUCUUAAACCAUGGCCCUUUACAAUCCUUUCUGGACUAAUCCAGAUGUGAAAACUGGACCUUAGACCACAUGAGUGUUGGAAAUCCUGCGGAAUCGGUGGUAGAGUUUGGAAGAGGAGACACUUCCUUCCCUCUAUACGCCCACUGCUACCCCCUCAUACCGUGGGCCUGAGGUUAAGAACAGCUACUCAUUCACCAGGUCACAUAGCCAGUGUAACAGCAUCUGGAUUUGAACUUGGCAUCUGUAGAUGUUAAGGUGCCAUGCUCACCACCUCCAGGGAGAUCUUGUCACAGACUUCCAGGUCCUUUCCUGCACCCUCUCGAGUCCCAUGGGUCCCCGUCCCACACCAGCACCCGCAGCCCUGCAGCAGUGUGAGACGAUGUGUCUGGGGAAUGGGAGGCUGGCAGAGAACAUACCAGGUCCUUCCCUUUUACUGGAUGUUGUCAGUUUGGACUCCAACCAACUUCUGUUUAGAAUAUUUCAGAAGAAAACUAUGAAAAACAACUGGCAAACAGGAUGAAGGGCUUAGUAUGGAAUUUCAGAAUUUCCGGCCCGUCCCACUCACCUUCCAGGCUCACCUAACCUCAGGCCUCACAAGAACGUCGCUUGAUGCCCCCUGUACCUCCCCUCAGUGUCCCCACAACUGCCUUGGUUCCCCUGCAGCCUGGAAUGGCCAUCUCCUCCUCAUUACUGGAAGCACACUCACCUUCCAGGAAGUCCUCCAGGACUGCUCUGUCUCCCCUUGGCUAAGCUCCUGAAUUAAGCCACCAUGUUCACAGCAAAGGGGCACGGUUGCAUUACCCAUCUGUGGUUGUGGGGGUUUGUCUCACUAAGCAUCUUGAGAGGACAGACUAUAAUCUGCUACAUCUUAGUGCCCGCAUACGGAGCAAGAUACUGUUCCCAGGGAAGCAAAAGUACCAACAGCCACACCAGCAUAGAUCUGAUGAAGACUCACAUCUCUGAUCUCAUCUGAACCCUGUAACGGCCCCAUGAGGAAGUCUACCCAUUCUACAGAUGUGACGACUGACACCGAGAGGCUAAGGGAUUCUCGCAAGACCAGCAGAGUACCAUCAAGGGACCUUCAGAGACUCUAUUCAGAACAGAAGAAUCACCUAGCAAAAGCCCCUGCCUCAUUUCUGACCCACAAAAUCGUUAGAUACAA